GAUGAACGCUGGCGGCGUGCCUAAUACAUGCAAGUCGAGCGAACGGACGAGAAGCUUGCUUCUCUGAUGUUAGCGGCGGACGGGUGAGUAACACGUGGAUAACCUACCUAUAAGACUGGGAUAACUUCGGGAAACCGGAGCUAAUACCGGAUCAUAUUUUGAACCGCAUGGUUCAAAAGUGAAAGACGGUCUUGCUGUCACUUAUAGCUGGUUCCGCGCUGCAUUAGCUAGUUGGUAAGGUAACGGCUUACCAAGGCAACGAUGCAUAGCCGACCUGAGAGGAUGAUCGGCCGCACUGGAACUGAGACACGGUCCAGACUCCUACGGGAGGCAGCAGUAGGGAAUCUUCCGCAAUGGGCGAAAGCCUGACGGAGCAACGCCGCGUGAGUGAUGAAGGUCUUCGGAUCGUAAAACUCUGUUAUUAGGGAAGAACAUAUGUGUAAGUAACUGUGCACAUCUUGACGGUACCUAAUCAGAAAGCCACGGCUAACUACGUG
This 497-nucleotide ribosomal RNA is filed under the name uncultured bacterium. Its description in RNAcentral is "partial 16S ribosomal RNA". It matches the Rfam family "Bacterial small subunit ribosomal RNA", at positions 28 to 507 of the family's 1533-position model. The record is from RNAcentral.